ACCUAAACUAACUCAGAUUCCUUUCCAUGUAACAACCAAUUAGGAUUAGAUCCUAUCCGAUUGUAACUCUAGGUUGUCAGCCCAUAUAAGGUGGCAAGGGGCACGCCCCGAGUGUGACUGAUCCCACCCCAUGUUAACUCUUCGCACCUACGAUCAGCAAUACAAUCCACCAGAACACAGGACGUAGGGUAUUACUCUCCGGAGGUCCGGACCUAUCUAAACCUUGCGUCUCUGUGUUACCAUUCGAGUUCUUAGUCUUACAAUCUCU
RNAcentral lists this long non-coding RNA (268 nucleotides) under Setaria viridis. RNAcentral's name for it is "long non-coding RNA (SVIR_LNC007284)". The record is from RNAcentral. Lineage: Eukaryota; Viridiplantae; Streptophyta; Magnoliopsida; Poales; Poaceae.